UACGGGGGGGCAAGCGUUGUUCGGAAUUACUGGGCGUAAAGGGCUCGUAGGCGGCCAACUAAGUCAGACGUGAAAUCCCUCGGCUUAACCGGGGAACUGCAUCUGAUACUGGAUGGCUUGAGUUCGGGAGAGGGAUGCGGAAUUCCAGGUGUAGCGGUGAAAUGCGUAGAUAUCUGGAGGAACACCGGUGGCGAAGGCGGCAUCCUGGACCGACACUGACGCUGAGGAGCGAAAGCGUGGGGAGCGAACAGG
RNAcentral lists this ribosomal RNA (252 nucleotides) under uncultured bacterium. RNAcentral's name for it is "partial 16S ribosomal RNA". It matches the Rfam family "Bacterial small subunit ribosomal RNA", at positions 524 to 776 of the family's 1533-position model. The record is from RNAcentral.